This 75-nucleotide transfer RNA is filed under the name Cellulosilyticum sp. RNAcentral describes it as "tRNA-Pro". It matches the Rfam family "tRNA". From Rfam's summary of the family: Transfer RNA (tRNA) molecules are approximately 80 nucleotides in length. Their secondary structure includes four short double-helical elements and three loops (D, anti-codon, and T loops). Further hydrogen bonds mediate the characteristic L-shaped molecular structure. tRNAs have two regions of fundamental functional importance: the anti-codon, which is responsible for specific mRNA codon recognition, and the 3' end, to which the tRNAs corresponding amino acid is attached (by aminoacyl-tRNA synthetases). tRNAs cope with the degeneracy of the genetic code in two manners: having more than one tRNA (with a specific anti-codon) for a particular amino acid; and 'wobble' base-pairing, i.e. permitting non-standard base-pairing at the 3rd anti-codon position. The record is from RNAcentral. Lineage: Bacteria; Bacillati; Bacillota; Clostridia; Lachnospirales; Cellulosilyticaceae.
CGGGGUGUGGCUCAGUUUGGCUAGAGCGCCUGAUUUGGGUUCAGGAGGCCGCAGGUUCUAGUCCUGUCACCCCGA